Molecule: long non-coding RNA, 538 nt
Organism: Eleginops maclovinus (Patagonian blennie)
Lineage: Eukaryota; Metazoa; Chordata; Actinopteri; Perciformes; Eleginopidae
Exons: 3
Source: RefSeq, a predicted model, not a curated record
GUGUAAUUACAGACUACAUACCAACACCCCGUCGUAAUUUACAUUACUUGAUGUCAUGGAAAAAUAUUAGACGAAGAUUGUUUUUAUCUGCGAACAGUAACACCACGGAGGGAAUCCAGCCGCACCAUCACCUGAAGAAGACAAAAGACGGAGAUUUUAAGAACACAAUCUGCAAAAGACUGCUGUCACAUGAAGAAGACACAUUAGUAAAUAACAGCGGGUUGAUAACGAAGACGCGAGACGGAGUUUGGACGUCAGCCAAAGGGAGGGUCGGUCCACGUUUGUACCGCUCAAGAUGUUUGGCUGCUCUCUGGGAAGCCGGGAGGCUGUCAGCGGCGGCGACGGGCGGCGGGCACUCCGGCCAUAUGCGGAGACAAAACCGACACGAGGGGCGAGCGGGAAACUCAGCCGACGUAUUGUUUGUAAGAAACUGACAGCUAAAUCUGCUAUUGUAAAAAUACGGGUAAAACUUGGUCAGGAUUCCACGGUGUUAAUGCUAUACUGUAUGCACAAAAGCUACACUAUGGUCCAACGAUGA